AGGACGAACGCUGGCGGCGUGCCUAAUACAUGCAAGUCGAACGGUCUUUCUAUGGAAGCUUGCUUCCACUGAGAAGAUAGUGGCGAACGGGUGAGUAACUCGUGGGUAACCUGCCCAUAAGAGGGGGGAUAACAUCCGGAAACGGGUGCUAAUACCGCAUAGUUUUCUUGGUCGCAUGAUCGGGAAAGGAAAGACGGCCUUUGUGCUGUCGCUUAUGGAUGGACCCGCGGCGUAUUAGUUAGUUGGUGAGGUAACGGCUCACCAAGACGAUGAUACGUAGCCGACCUGAGAGGGUGAUCGGCCACAUUGGGACUGAGACACGGCCCAAACUCCUACGGGAGGCAGCAGUAGGGAAUCUUCCGCAAUGGACGAAAGUCUGACGGAGCAACGCCGCGUGAGUGAAAGAAGGUUUUCGGAUCGUAAAACUCUGUUGUCAGAGAAGAACAAGUUGGAGAGUAACUGCUCCAGCCUUGACGGUAUCUGACCAGAAAGCCACGGCUAACUACGUGCCAGCCGCGGC
This 520-nucleotide ribosomal RNA is filed under the name uncultured bacterium. Its description in RNAcentral is "bacterial SSU rRNA". It matches the Rfam family "Bacterial small subunit ribosomal RNA", at positions 26 to 518 of the family's 1533-position model. The record is from RNAcentral.